Molecule: non-coding RNA, 45 nt
Organism: Schistosoma haematobium
Lineage: Eukaryota; Metazoa; Platyhelminthes; Trematoda; Strigeidida; Schistosomatidae
Source: Rfam
AUUCAACUGACGAGUUCCAAACAGAACGAAAUAAGAAUCCCAAAU